RNAcentral lists this transfer-messenger RNA (356 nucleotides) under Christensenellaceae. Its description in RNAcentral is "UBA10281 sp015055505 Standard tmRNA". It matches the Rfam family "transfer-messenger RNA". Rfam says of the family: Bacterial tmRNA, also known as 10Sa RNA or SsrA, is named for its dual tRNA and mRNA-like properties. Its role is to liberate the mRNA from a stalled ribosome. To accomplish this part of the tmRNA is used as a reading frame that ends in a translation stop signal. Lineage: Bacteria; Bacillati; Bacillota; Clostridia; Christensenellales. RNAcentral also lists the same sequence under 1 other name. The record is from RNAcentral.
GGGGGUGCACCGGAUUCGACUGGGUAAAAAGGGAAGAGUAUAAGCAUACCGCAGGUAUCGACUGCGUAAUAACGAUAACUUAAAUUUAAAUGCAAAUAAUAACAAUUUUGCUUACGCUGCGUAAUUAGUUCAGCGUUGUCGGGUAUAGGUAAUCCGCUGACUUGUAUUUCGGCAUCAUUUUAAGCGGAGAACGUCUAUAGAGGUCGUAUUGUGUUUUUAUAGAUGAAUUUAGCAAUAUGCGAUAGGAAUAGUCGGUUUGCAGACAGUUUCUAUUUAAGGAUAAGAGCAAACUAAGUAUGUAGAAGGCUUUUUGAUUUUUACGCAAGACAGGAGUUCAACUCUCCUCACCUCCACCA